UACGUAUGGACCGAGCGUUGUCCGGAAUCAUUGGGCGUAAAGGGUACGUAGGCGGCCCAGUAAGUUAGAAGUGAAAUAAUAUAGCUCAACUAUAUAAAGCUUUUAAAACUGCUAGGCUUGAGAGAUGGAAGGGAAAGUGGAAUUCCUAGUGUAGCGGUGAAAUGCGCAGAUAUUAGGAAGAAUACCGGUGGCGAAGGCGACUUUCUGGUCAUCAUCUGACGCUGAGGUACGAAGGCGUGGGUAGCAAACAGG
Molecule: ribosomal RNA, 252 nt
Filed under: uncultured bacterium
Lineage: Bacteria
Description: partial 16S ribosomal RNA
Rfam family: Bacterial small subunit ribosomal RNA
Source: RNAcentral